This 476-nucleotide long non-coding RNA is filed under the name Mytilus galloprovincialis (Mediterranean mussel). Lineage: Eukaryota; Metazoa; Mollusca; Bivalvia; Mytilida; Mytilidae. The record is from RNAcentral.
AAAAACUUUUUUUGUUUUGUUUAUGAAAUUCAUUGUUUCAUGGCACUCAAUCAAUUAGUCCCAGUUGAUUCUUAUCUUUACAUCAAAAUGAUAUGUAUUUUUAACAAAGUUAUCUAACAAAUACUAAGUCUGUUAAUGCGUAGUUUUUUCUCUUGGUAUAUUUUUUCGAUCUGUUGUCAUUAUCGUGAAAAUGCGGAUUUUUGUCAUAUCUGGUCCGGUUCCAAUCCGUAGUUUUCCCAAAAAUGUGCAAUGGCGGCCGUGGAAAAAUUUACGAAAAUGAGUCCGAGAAUAAACAUUGUUUGACAAGAGAUUGUGAAUGAAUAAGACGCUUUUAAUGCAUUAAAUAGAUUAAACAUAAACUUAAGCCAAUUAUGAUAACUUUUGAAAGAAGUAUUAAACUUAUUUUAGCUCUAAACCAAAAUUCUCGCUCUCGGAAGAGAAAGAAAGUAAUUUUUGGAGAGUUGCACAAAUAAACG